Molecule: transfer RNA, 58 nt
Filed under: Ctenophorus femoralis
Lineage: Eukaryota; Metazoa; Chordata; Lepidosauria; Squamata; Agamidae
Description: tRNA-Cys
Source: RNAcentral
AGGCCUAAGGACUAUUUAAACCCAAAAUCCGACUUGCAAUCAGACGUAUUACUAGACC